RNAcentral lists this ribosomal RNA (497 nucleotides) under uncultured bacterium. Its description in RNAcentral is "partial 16S ribosomal RNA". It matches the Rfam family "Bacterial small subunit ribosomal RNA", at positions 28 to 507 of the family's 1533-position model. The record is from RNAcentral.
GAUGAACGCUGGCGGCGUGCCUAAUACAUGCAAGUCGAGCGAACAGACGAGGAGCUUGCUCCUCUGAUGUUAGCGGCGGACGGGUGAGUAACACGUGGAUAACCUACCUAUAAGACUGGGAUAACUUCGGGAAACCGUAGCUAAUACCGGAUAAUAUAUUGAACCGCAUGGUUCAAUAGUGAAAGACGGUUUUGCUGUCACUUAUAGAUGGAUCCGCGCCGCAUUAGCUAGUUGGUAAGGUAACGGCUUACCAAGGCAACGAUGCAUAGCCGACCUGAGAGGGUGAUCGGCCACACUGGAACUGAGACACGGUCCAGACUCCUACGGGAGGCAGCAGUAGGGAAUCUUCCGCAAUGGGCGAAAGCUUGACGGAGCAACGCCGCGUGAGUGAUGAAGGUCUUCGGAUCGUAAAACUCUGUUAUUAGGGAAGAACAAAUGUGUAAGUAACUAUGCACGUCUUGACGGUACCUAAUCAGAAAGCCACGGCUAACUACGUG